AUGAUCAUCACUGAUGACGAUCUUGACUAUAUUGCCUUUGUUAAGGCUCGCCUUCGCGAUCAGUUCCUCAUGACUGAACUUGGUCCACUUCGCUACUUUCUUGGGAUUGAGAUCUCCUCAACCUCUGAUGGCUUCUACAUCUCCCAAGAAAAAUAUAUUCAGGAUCUUCUUGCUCGCGCUGCUCUCGGUGAUGAGCGCACAGUUGUGACUCCUAUGGAGCUCAACGUUCAGCUUCGUGCCUCCGAUGGUGAUCUUCUUCCUAAUCCCACUCGCUAUCGUCAUCUUGUUGGCAGUCUUGUCUAUCUUGCUGUUACGCGUCCUGACAUCUCCUAUCAUGUCCACAUCCUGAGUCAGUUUGUUUCAGCCCCCACCUCUGUCCACUAUAGCCAUCUCCUCCGUGUUCUACGAUAUCUUCGUUGUACGAUCUCUCAACGCCUUUUCUUUCCCCGCUCCAGCUCUCUUGAGCUCUAG
This 471-nucleotide ribosomal RNA is filed under the name Triticum aestivum (bread wheat). RNAcentral's name for it is "partial small subunit ribosomal RNA". Lineage: Eukaryota; Viridiplantae; Streptophyta; Magnoliopsida; Poales; Poaceae. The record is from RNAcentral.